GUGCACGCUGGCGGUCGGCCUAACACAUGCAAGUCGAACGGCAGCACCGUAAGAGCUUGCUCUUACGGGUGGCGAGUGGCGGACGGGUGAGGAAUACAUCGGAAUCUACUUUUUCGUGGGGGAUAACGUAGGGAAACUUACGCUAAUACCGCAUACGACCUACGGGUGAAAGCAGGGGAUCUUCGGACCUUGCGCGAUUGAAUGAGCCGAUGUCGGAUUAGCUAGUUGGCGGGGUAAAGGCCCACCAAGGCGACGAUCCGUAGCUGGUCUGAGAGGAUGAUCAGCCACACUGGAACUGAGACACGGUCCAGACUCCUACGGGAGGCAGCAGUGGGGAAUAUUGGACAAUGGGCGCAAGCCUGAUCCAGCCAUACCGCGUGGGUGAAGAAGGCCUUCGGGUUGUAAAGCCCUUUUGUUGGGAAAGAAAAGCAGCAGGUUAAUACCCCGCUGUUCUGACGGUACCCAAAGAAUAAGCACCGGCUAACUUCGUG
Molecule: ribosomal RNA, 491 nt
Filed under: uncultured bacterium
Lineage: Bacteria
Description: partial 16S ribosomal RNA
Rfam family: Bacterial small subunit ribosomal RNA
Source: RNAcentral